UACGAAGGUCCCAAGCGUUAUCCGGAAUUAUUGGGCGUAAAGCGCAUGUAGGCGGUUUGUUAAGUCUGGUGUGAAAGCUCAAGGCCUAACCUUGAAAUUGCAUUGGAAACUGGCAAACUAGAAUACUGGAGGGGUAAGUGGAAUUCCAUGUGUAGCGGUGAAAUGCGUAGAUAUCGUCUGGAACGCCGAAGGUGAAAAUAGCUCGCUGGGGCCGCGCUGACGCUGAGACACGAAAGCCAGGGGAGCGAACGGG
This 253-nucleotide ribosomal RNA is filed under the name uncultured bacterium. RNAcentral's name for it is "partial 16S ribosomal RNA". It matches the Rfam family "Bacterial small subunit ribosomal RNA", at positions 524 to 776 of the family's 1533-position model. The record is from RNAcentral.